UGCAGACCAAGCUGGGGACCUGAUCUGCAAAAAUCAAGGUGAAGAUUCCAAACAGAAUGCUCCCAGGAAGAGGCAGUUGAAGCUGGCCAGGGGGAAACUGAUUCUCUCUCUCUGGGGUGACUGAUCAAGAGAGAAACCUCUUCUCUGAGUGUUCCUGAUCAAAGAGACUGGCUUUUCUCAUCUAGGCAGAAAGAGACCUUUGGGUUUUGACAGAGUCUGGACUUGAAUUACUCAAGCAGAGAUUACCUGACUAAAGAAAGAAGAAAAGAAGAAAGAUACUUGUCCUCCAUACUCUCCAAUUGUCCCGGAGUCACAACUGUGACUAGACUGACAUUUUCCAUAAUUCCUCCUAUCUUUCAUUGUAGAUUAGGGACACCCUUUAUCCCCUUCACCUCAAUCCCCAUCCUGUUUGUUCCCAAUAAACCCCUUACCUGAGAAAGGAAGAGUGAAGAAUGUUUCUCUGAAAUCUCAUAGUUCCCCUGAGUUACUUAGAAGGAACGGUCCUCUCCUUUCUGAUCUUUUUGACUGCAGACUCAAUUUGACUGAUGAUUCCAUCUUUCUGCAAUCUCGUCAUUUCCUUCGUCUCCAAUGAUUUGUACAUUUUCAGUAUUUAUACCAUGUGCUAAUUUUAUAUGUGAACAAUGAUACCAGCACUCUCUACCCAAAACUUACUGAAGAUGGAGAAACCAACACAAUAGUGUCCAGUUCAAAUGCUAUUUCUUUCAUGAAGUUUUCUCUGAACUCUAGAAUGAGUAAUGACUCCUCCAUUUUGAACCUGGCUUGCAUCUCACCGAUGGAUUUAGGCAUCAUUUUUAAAGAUAGUCUAUGACAUAUCUACAAGCUGACCUUAAUAUUUAGACUUCCAGGAAGGGAGAGAAAAGGGUUUAAGUGAUCCAGUUUAUGGAGAAGUAUGGAAAUUGUGAGCUGCCUCAGAAAGAAGUGAUUCCAUGAGGAGACAUGGACAAAGCAAAUGAAGUGGAGACCAGGAGAGUUCCCAAACCUGAAGCAGAGAUAGGAAUUGGGAAUGAUGAGGAGGAAAGAUCCCAAACAACUGAGACUUACACCUAUUACAAAUCCUGUUGAACUGGGGAAGGCUGAACAAAUUGAGGCACAUGAUGGUGAUGAAAUACUAUUGUGCUAUAAGGAAUGAUGAGUGGGAUGAUUUCAGAAAGAACUGGAGAGACCUACAUGGACUAGUGCAAAGUGAAAUAAGCAGAACCUUGAGAUCAUUAUACACAGAAAUGGAAACAUUGUGGAAUCAUCAAAUAUGAUAGACUUUGCUACUAAUGAUCUAGGACAAUCCUGUGGACUUGGGGAAAAGAAUGCUAUUCAUCUCCAGAGAAAGAAAUGUUAGAGUACAAAUGCAGAUGAAAACAUAUGAUUUAUCAUUUGUUUAUUUGGGUAUAUAUUUGAGGGUUUUGCUUCUAUAAGAUAUUUGCUUACAAAAAUGAAUAAUAUGGAAAUAUUUUUUGUGUGAUUAUGCAUGUAUAACCCAGAUUGAAUUGUUUGUCAGCUCUGGGAGGUAGGAGAGAAGAGGGGAGGGAGACAAUAUAGAAAACCUAUGUGGUUAUUAAAUAAAACAAAAUUAAUAGAAUGUAAGCCUGUUUUUUUAUCCCCAUGCUUAGUGCUUAACACACAGUAUAAGCAUUUAAUAAAUUCUUUUUUUCCUAGGGAGUAUUGGACUGGCUUGAUGGGUUGAUCCAAAGACUCAAUGUAGUUUUGGGGUUGAUUUCAGUGCCCAGGGGAAGAAAUAGAAAAUCGGUCAGGGCAACUGACUAGAUGGCUAGUAUGGCUGGCUGGCUGGCUGGAAUGUGAAGCAGAAUUCUGUUUGGAGCCCAAGAGGUUUGGUCAACUAGGAGCUUUUGCUCUCACGGAUCAAGAAAACUCCAUCCUAGAACAGGACCUUCAAGGCUGAGAUGAUUGAUAUCUUUAGGGCUUUGGAUUCUGG
Molecule: long non-coding RNA, 1948 nt
Organism: Monodelphis domestica (gray short-tailed opossum)
Lineage: Eukaryota; Metazoa; Chordata; Mammalia; Didelphimorphia; Didelphidae
Source: RefSeq, a predicted model, not a curated record